GUGCUGGCUCUGGCAGCACAUGUACUAAAACUGGAACAAUAGAAGAUUAGCAUGGCCCCUGGGCAAGGGUGACACCCAAAUUCGUGAAACAUUCCAUAUUAAA
Molecule: small nuclear RNA, 103 nt
Organism: Delphinapterus leucas (beluga whale)
Lineage: Eukaryota; Metazoa; Chordata; Mammalia; Artiodactyla; Monodontidae
Source: Ensembl